This 329-nucleotide ribosomal RNA is filed under the name uncultured eukaryote. RNAcentral's name for it is "partial 18S ribosomal RNA". It matches the Rfam family "Eukaryotic small subunit ribosomal RNA", at positions 1470 to 1796 of the family's 1831-position model. The record is from RNAcentral.
CCCUUAGAUGUUCUGGGCCGCACGCGCGCUACACUGAUGCAUUCAACGAGUUUUGUUUGUUCCUUGGCCGAGAGGCCUGGGCAAUCUUUUGAACUUGCAUCGUGAUAGGGAUAGAUUAUUGCAAUUAUUAAUCUUGAACGAGGAAUUCCUAGUAAACGCAGAUCAUCAAUCUGCAUUGAUUACGUCCCUGCCCUUUGUACACACCGCCCGUCGCACCUACCGAUUGAAUGCUCAGGUGAGCCAUUCGGACUUUCAUCAUGCUGGUUUCCAGUUUUGAUGAAGGAAAGUCUUGCGAACCUUAUCAUUUAGAGGAAGGAGAAGUCGUAACA